RNAcentral lists this ribosomal RNA (516 nucleotides) under uncultured bacterium. Its description in RNAcentral is "bacterial SSU rRNA". It matches the Rfam family "Bacterial small subunit ribosomal RNA", at positions 774 to 1275 of the family's 1533-position model. The record is from RNAcentral.
AGGUAAUAGAUACCCCGGUAGUCCACGCCGUAAACGAUGAUGACUAGCUGUCGGGGCUCAUGGAGUUUCGGUGGCGCAGCUAACGCGUUAAGUCAUCCGCCUGGGGAGUACGGCCGCAAGGUUAAAACUCAAAGAAAUUGACGGGGGCCUGCACAAGCGGUGGAGCAUGUGGUUUAAUUCGAAGCAACGCGCAGAACCUUACCAGCGUUUGACAUGGUAGGACGGUUUCUGGAGACAGAUUCCUUCCCUUACGGGACCUACACACAGGUGCUGCAUGGCUGUCGUCAAACUCGUGUCGUGAGAUGUUGGGUUAAGUCCCGCAACGAGCGCAACCCUCGUCUUUAGUUGCCACCAUUAGUUGGGUCGACUCUAAAGAAACCUAGCCGGUGAUAAGCCGGACGGAAGGUGGGGUAGUGACGUCAAGUCCUCAUGGCCCGUUACCGCGCUGGGCGUACACACGUGCUACAAUGGCGGUGACAAAGGGACGAGCAAACUACGCGAGAGUGAGCAAAUCCC